Molecule: ribosomal RNA, 253 nt
Filed under: uncultured bacterium
Lineage: Bacteria
Description: partial 16S ribosomal RNA
Rfam family: Bacterial small subunit ribosomal RNA
Source: RNAcentral
UACGUAGGGGUCGAGCGUUGUCCGGAGUUACUGGGCGUAAAGCGCACGUAGGCGGCUUUCUAAGUCAGGGGUGAAAUCCUGGAGCUCAACUCCAGAACUGCCUUUGAUACUGGAGAGCUAGAGUCCGGAAGAGGUGAGUGGAACUGCGAGUGUAGAGGUGAAAUUCGUAGAUAUUCGCAAGAACACCAGUGGCGAAGGCGGCUCACUGGUCCGGUACUGACGCUGAGGUGCGAAAGCGUGGGGAGCAAACAGG